This 200-nucleotide ribosomal RNA is filed under the name uncultured bacterium. Its description in RNAcentral is "partial 16S ribosomal RNA". It matches the Rfam family "Bacterial small subunit ribosomal RNA", at positions 524 to 723 of the family's 1533-position model. The record is from RNAcentral.
UACGAAGGGGGCUAGCGUUGCUCGGAAUCACUGGGCGUAAAGCGCACGUAGGCGGCUUCUUAAGUCAGGGGUGAAAUCCUGGAGCUCAACUCCAGAACUGCCUUUGAUACUGAGGAGCUUGAGUCCGGGAGAGGUGAGUGGAACUGCGAGUGUAGAGGUGAAAUUCGUAGAUAUUCGCAAGAACACCAGUGGCGAAGGCG